AUGAAAUAAAUAUGAAACCUACCAUAAAAAAUUAAUAUUUUUUAGUAAUUUCAGGUAGAAAUAUCUAUUUUGUA
This 74-nucleotide transfer RNA is filed under the name Prunus dulcis (almond). RNAcentral's name for it is "tRNA-Trp". Lineage: Eukaryota; Viridiplantae; Streptophyta; Magnoliopsida; Rosales; Rosaceae. The record is from RNAcentral.